RNAcentral lists this ribosomal RNA (497 nucleotides) under uncultured bacterium. RNAcentral's name for it is "partial 16S ribosomal RNA". It matches the Rfam family "Bacterial small subunit ribosomal RNA", at positions 28 to 507 of the family's 1533-position model. The record is from RNAcentral.
GAUGAACGCUGGCGGCGUGCCUAAUACAUGCAAGUCGAGCGAACAGACGAGGAGCUUGCUCCUCUGACGUUAGCGGCGGACGGGUGAGUAACACGUGGAUAACCUACCUAUAAGACUGGGAUAACUUCGGGAAGCCGGAGCUAAUACCGGAUAAUAUAUUGAACCGCAUGGUUCAAUAGUGAAAGACGGUUUUGCUGUCACUUAUAGAUGGAUCCGCGCCGCAUUAGCUAGUUGGUAAGGUAACGGCUUACCAAGGCAACGAUGCGUAGCCGACCUGAGAGGGUGAUCGGCCACACUGGAACUGAGACACGGUCCAGACUCCUACGGGAGGCAGCAGUAGGGAAUCUUCCGCAAUGGGCGAAAGCUUGACGGAGCAACGCCGCGUGAGUGAUGAAGGUCUUCGGAUCGUAAAACUCUGUUAUUAGUGAAGAACAAAUGUGUAAGUAACUAUGCACGUCUUGACGGUACCUAAUCAGAAAGCCACGGCUAACUACGUG